AGAGUUUGAUCCUGGCUCAGGACGAACGCUGGCGGCGUGCCUAACACAUGCAAGUCGAACGAGGUUCUAGAGUAGCUUGCUAUUCGAACGACCUAGUGGCGCACGGGUGAGUAACACGUGGGCAAUCUACCCGGAAGUCUGGGAUAACAGCUCGAAAGGGCUGCUAAUACCGGAUACUUUCACGAGAACACAUGUUUUUGUGAAGAAAGUUUUUUCGCUUCCGGAUGAGCCCGCGUCCCAUUAGCUAAUUGGUGAGGUAACGGCCCACCAAGGCUACGAUGGGUAGCUGGUCUGAGAGGACGAUCAGCCACACUGGAACUGAGACACGGUCCAGACUCCUACGGGAGGCAGCAGUGGGGAAUCUUGCGCAAUGGGCGAAAGCCUGACGCAGCAACGCCGCGUGAACGAUGAAGGCCUUAGGGUCGUAAAGUUCUGUCAAGGGGGAAGAAGAUCUGACGGUACCCCUGGAGGAAGCUCCGGCUAACUACGUGCCAGCCGCCGCGGUAAUUC
Molecule: ribosomal RNA, 510 nt
Filed under: uncultured soil bacterium
Lineage: Bacteria
Description: bacterial SSU rRNA
Rfam family: Bacterial small subunit ribosomal RNA
Source: RNAcentral